AUACGGAGGGUGCAAGCGUUAAUGGGAAUUACUGGGCGUAAAGGGCGCGUAGGCGGUCUAUCAAGUCAGGUGUGAAAUCCCACGGCUCAACCGUGGAGGUGCAUCUGAAACUGAUAGACUUGAGUAUGGGAGAGGAAAGUGGAAUUCCCGGUGUAGAGGUGAAAUUCGUAGAUAUCGGGAGGAACACCAGUGGCGAAGGCGACUUUCUGGACCAAUACUGACGCUGAGGCGCGAAAGCGUGGGGAGCAAACAGGAUUAGAAACCCUAGUAGUCC
RNAcentral lists this ribosomal RNA (274 nucleotides) under uncultured bacterium. RNAcentral describes it as "partial 16S ribosomal RNA". It matches the Rfam family "Bacterial small subunit ribosomal RNA", at positions 523 to 796 of the family's 1533-position model. The record is from RNAcentral.